RNAcentral lists this transfer RNA (73 nucleotides) under archaeon. It matches the Rfam family "tRNA". Rfam says of the family: Transfer RNA (tRNA) molecules are approximately 80 nucleotides in length. Their secondary structure includes four short double-helical elements and three loops (D, anti-codon, and T loops). The record is from Rfam by way of RNAcentral. RNAcentral also lists the same sequence under 1 other name.
GGACGCGGAGCUCCGCAGGUAGAGCGCCUGGCUGUUAACCGGGAAGUCGGUGGUUCGAUCCCACCCGUGUCCG